RNAcentral lists this ribosomal RNA (478 nucleotides) under uncultured Planctomycetales bacterium. Its description in RNAcentral is "bacterial SSU rRNA". It matches the Rfam family "Bacterial small subunit ribosomal RNA", at positions 364 to 832 of the family's 1533-position model. The record is from RNAcentral. Lineage: Bacteria; Pseudomonadati; Planctomycetota; Planctomycetia; Planctomycetales.
UUUCGCAAUGCCCGAAAGGGUGACGAAGCGACGCCGCGUGUGGGAAGAAGGCCUUCGGGUUGUAAACCACUGUCGGGAGUUAGGAAAUGCAGGUGCGUUAAUAGCGCACUUGCUUGACUAAGGCUCCAGAGGAAGCCACGGCUAACUCUGUGCCAGCAGCCGCGGUAAUACAGAGGCGGCAAGCGUUGUUCAGAAUUAUUGGGCGUAAAGAGCACGUAGGCGGCCUUGCAAGUCAGUUAUGAAAGCCUUCCGCUUAACGGAAGAACGGCAUCUGAUACUACAGGGCUUGAGUACGGGAGGGGAGAGUGGAACUUCUGGUGGAGCGGUGAAGUGCGUAGAUAUCAGAAGGAACGCCGGCGGCGAAAGCGACUCUCUGGUCCGAAACUGACGCUGAGUGUGCGAAAGCUAGGGGAGCAAACGGGAUUAGAUACCCCGGUAGUCCUAGCCGUAAACGAUGGGCACUAAGUAGAGGGGUUUU